AUUGAACGCUGGCGGGAUGCUUUACACAUGCAAGUCGAACGGCAGCGCGGACUUCGGUCUGGCGGCGAGUGGCGAACGGGUGAGUAAUGUAUCGGAACGUGCCCAGUAGCGGGGGAUACCUCCGCGAAAGCGUAGCUAAUACCGCAUCCGCCCUCCGGGGGAAAGCAGGGGAUCGUAAGACCUUGCACUUUUGGAGCGGCCGAUAUCGGAUUAGCUAGUUGGUGAGGUAACGGCUCACCAAGGCGACGAUCCGUAGCUGGUUUGAGAGGACGACCAGCCACACUGGGACUGAGACACGGCCCAGACUCCUACGGGAGGCAGCAGUGGGGAAUUUUGGACAAUGGGGGCAACCCUGAUCCAGCCAUCCCGCGUGUGCGAUGAAGGCCUUCGGGUUGUAAAGCACUUUUGGCAGGAAAGAAACGUCGCGGGCUAAUACCCCGUGGAACUGACGGUACCUGCAGAAUAAGCACCGGCUAACUACGUG
RNAcentral lists this ribosomal RNA (484 nucleotides) under uncultured bacterium. RNAcentral describes it as "partial 16S ribosomal RNA". It matches the Rfam family "Bacterial small subunit ribosomal RNA", at positions 30 to 507 of the family's 1533-position model. The record is from RNAcentral.